GGGGAAUAUUGCACAAUGGGGGAAACCCUGAUGCAGCGACGCCGCGUGGAGGAAGAAGGUCUUCGGAUUGUAAACUCCUGUUGUUGAGGAAGAUAAUGACGGUACUCAACAAGGAAGUGACGGCUAACUACGUGCCAGCAGCCGCGGUAAAACGUAGGUCACAAGCGUUGUCCGGAAUUACUGGGUGUAAAGGGAGCGCAGGCGGGCGAUCAAGUUGGAAGUGAAAUCCAUGGGCUCAACCCAUGAACUGCUUUCAAAACUGAUUGUCUUGAGUAGUGCAGAGGUAGGCGGAAUUCCCGGUGUAGCGGUGGAAUGCGUAGAUAUCGGGAGGAACACCAGUGGCGAAGGCGGCCUACUGGGCACCAACUGACGCUGAGGCUCGAAAGUGUGGGUAGCAAACAGGAUUAGAUACCCUGGUAGUCCACACCGUAAACGAUGAUUACUAGGUGUUGGAGGAUUGACCCCUUCAGUGCCGCAGUUAACACAAUAAGUAAUCCACCUGGGGAGUACGACCGCAAGGUUGAAACUCAAAGGAAUUGACGGGGGCCCGCACAAGCAGUGGAGUAUGUGGUUUAAUUCGACGCAACGCGAAGAACCUUACCAAGUCUUGACAUCCUGCGACGGUGCUAGAAAUAGUAUUUUCCUUCGGGACGCAGAGACAGGUGGUGCAUGGUUGUCGUCAGCUCGUGUCGUGAGAUGUUGGGUUAAGUCCCGCAACGAGCGCAACCCUUAUGGUCAGUUACUACGCAAGAGGACUCUGGCCAGACUGCCGUUGACAAAACGGAGGAAGGUGGGGAUGACGUCAAAUCAUCAUGCCCUUUAUGACUUGGGCUACACACGUACUACAAUGGCGUUAAACAAAGAGAAGCAAGACCGCGAGGUGGAGCAAAACUCAGAAACAACGUCCCAGUUCGGACUGCAGGCUGCAACUCGCCUGCACGAAGUCGGAAUUGCUAGUAAUCGCAGAUCAGCAUGCUGCGGUGAAUACGUUCCCG
Molecule: ribosomal RNA, 995 nt
Filed under: uncultured bacterium
Lineage: Bacteria
Description: bacterial SSU rRNA
Rfam family: Bacterial small subunit ribosomal RNA
Source: RNAcentral